Molecule: ribosomal RNA, 387 nt
Filed under: uncultured eukaryote
Lineage: Eukaryota
Description: SSU rRNA
Rfam family: Eukaryotic small subunit ribosomal RNA
Source: RNAcentral
AGCUCCAAUAGCGUAUAUUAAUGUUGUUGCAGUUAAAAAGCUCGUAGUUGGAUUUCUGACAGGAGCGACCGGUCCGAGCAUUCGUGUUCGUGUUACUUGUGUUGUCUCUAGUCAUCCUUAUAGAGAACAAAUGUUGGCAUUAAGUUGUUGCGUUUGGGACCUAUAUCGUUUACUGUGAAAAAAUUAGAGUGUUCAAAGCAGGCAAUCGCUGUGAAUAUAUUAGCAUGGAAUAAUAAGAUAGGACUAUGGUACUAUUUUGUUGGUUUGCAUACCAAAGUAAUGAUUAAGAGGGACAGUUGGGGGUAUUCGUAUUUACAUGUCAGAGGUGAAAUUCUUGGAUUUUGGAAAGACGAACUACUGCGAAAGCAUUUACCAAGGAUGUUUUCA